CCCUUAGAUGUCCUGGGCUGCACGCGCGCUACACUGAUGUGUCCAGUAAGCACCUAACCUCUUCCGAAAGGAACGGGUAACCUUUGCAAAGCACAUCGUGAUGGGGAUAGAUUAUUGCAAUUAUUAGUCUUGAACGAGGAAUUCCUAGUAAGCACAAGUCAUCAGCUUGUGUUGAUUACGUCCCUGCCCUUUGUACACACCGCCCGUCGCUGCUACCGAUUGAGUGGUCCGGUGAAUUAUUCGGACCGGUGGACUGUGGGGAAACCCGCGGCCUGCUGGGAAGUCUUGUGAACCUUAUCACUUAGAGGAAGCAGAAGUCGUAACA
This 325-nucleotide ribosomal RNA is filed under the name uncultured eukaryote. RNAcentral's name for it is "partial 18S ribosomal RNA". It matches the Rfam family "Eukaryotic small subunit ribosomal RNA", at positions 1470 to 1796 of the family's 1831-position model. The record is from RNAcentral.